AGGUUCUUCUGUGAUAUGUUUUCAUGGUGUGGGAAUAAGACUUGGUGGUCUAAUACAGCUAAUAUGAAGGUUAGCAUCACAGCUUGUCUGUAAAGAUUGAAGCUGGGAGUGGGCAUUGGAGCUGACUUUUAUGGUAACUGUGGCUGCAUAAAAGGGCUAUGUGAUUUUACUGUAAAGUAAAGAAUGUAAUUCAGACUAUUUUUGUGUAUGUUUGAGAAAAUGUUUAUAAUUUUUACAAAAAGAAAAAAAAAAUUAUGUACAGGUUCUCCAUUUUCAACAAGAUUGGAAGUUGUAGGUUAAUAGGUCUUUGAAAUUUCAAAAAUUACUUUCUAUUUUCUGUUCAUACUCAUGUCUAGGCAAAACACUUCCAGUAGUUUAAGAAUGGAGAAUCUAAAAAAAAAAGAAAAGAAAAAAAAAAAAAAAAAAUGUUCAAUUAUUGAAAUGUUUUUUAUUUUUGCAAAUUGUAAUGUUUUUUCACCUUUGUGUCAUUUUUAGCUGAGUUUAUAACGAAGGGUAUAUUAUUUUAAGAAUAUUUUACAAGAAGCAUAGUUGAAGAAUAUCUUGAUGAAAGUAGAUUGAUUGAUUUUUGGUAUUUAACACCACUUUCAGCAUGAUUUGCUAUAUCUGGGCUGCCAGUUUUUAUUUGUGGAGUCAGCCUGGUGAAAACAUCCCCUUCAACAGAGAAACUGGCAACGCUAGUCAAUUAAGAUUGAUGUUAAACACACCUACAAUGUGAGGGUUCAGAGUGUUG
Long non-coding RNA from Mytilus californianus (California mussel), 751 nucleotides. RefSeq lists it as uncharacterized. NCBI's taxonomy places the organism in Eukaryota, Metazoa, Mollusca, Bivalvia, Mytilida, Mytilidae. The record is from RefSeq and is a predicted model, not a curated record. The transcript is spliced from 3 exons.